RNAcentral lists this ribosomal RNA (253 nucleotides) under uncultured bacterium. RNAcentral's name for it is "partial 16S ribosomal RNA". It matches the Rfam family "Bacterial small subunit ribosomal RNA", at positions 524 to 776 of the family's 1533-position model. The record is from RNAcentral.
UACGUAGGGGGCGAGCGUUGUCCGGAAUUACUGGGCGUAAAGGGUGCGUAGGCGGCCCUUUAAGUCAGAUGUGAAAGGCCACGGCUUAACCGUGGAACUGCAUUUGAAACUGGAGGGCUUGAGUGUCGGAGAGGGUAGUGGAAUUCCCAGUGUAGCGGUGAAAUGCGUAGAUAUUGGGAGGAACACCAGUGGCGAAGGCGACUACCUGGACGAUAACUGACGCUGAGGCACGAAAGCGUGGGGAGCAAACAGG